RNAcentral lists this ribosomal RNA (253 nucleotides) under uncultured bacterium. Its description in RNAcentral is "partial 16S ribosomal RNA". It matches the Rfam family "Bacterial small subunit ribosomal RNA", at positions 524 to 776 of the family's 1533-position model. The record is from RNAcentral.
UACGUAGGGCGCAAGCGUUGUCCGGAAUUAUUGGGCGUAAAGAGCGUGUAGGCGGCCUGAAAGGUCAGCUGUGAAAACUCGAGGCUCAACCUCGAGACGUCGGUUGAAACCAUCUGGCUAGAGUCCGGAAGAGGAGAGUGGAAUUCCCGGUGUAGCGGUGAAAUGCGCAGAUAUCGGGAAGAACACCCGUGGCGAAGGCGGCUCUCUGGGACGGUACUGACGCUGAGACGCGAAAGCGUGGGGAGCGAACAGG